UACAUAAACUUUUUGGGAUGCUUAAAAAUUAGCUGGAUCUAGAAGAGCGAAAAUUAUUCCUUAAAUUUUCAUUUUAGCGCUCAAAUUUUUCCAUUUUUUUUCUUCUCUCCAUCGAACUCUCAAUUUUACUGUUUACCUCUCUUGUUCUUCCCCAAUUUACCGACGACGAGUCUAUCCUUAUGAAGAUUGUUGGUUUUUUCGGAUUAUUGAACGAAUUGACGGCAUGUGGCAUCUCCGGCGGCGGCUUGCAAAUAGAGCUGUAAUUUCCAAGUUUACAGAUGCAGGGCAAGUAUGGAAUCACCAAGGAAGAUUGUGAAGCUGGAAAAUGAAGAACGUACUUCUCUAUUGCAGCAAAUGGAAGGCAUUCAAGCUAGCUACUCUUUCUGGUUUCGUAUCUUCUGGCAAGUUGGUUUGAUUUACUUGUAAGAUUGAUGCUUCUGCAUAUAUUGGACAGUUAGAGCUUUCACACAUGUUAUUUGAGCAUGAUGUUUGGAAGGUGAAUUAUUCAUUUUUCCUACUGCUAGAAAAGAAUAUUGUACUGAUAAGUCAUUUUUGAACUCUAUUAAUUUUAUAAAUAUUCGAUGAGAUUCUAUUGUAAUCUCAUAAAAAUUCAGACAAUGAGUUAGUUUGUUGAAUUAACAGUAGAUUUGAUGAUGUUAGAAAUUUUGUUGCACCUUCAAUAUAUAUGUAUUUUUCGUAA
Molecule: non-coding RNA, 700 nt
Organism: Erythranthe guttata (spotted monkey flower)
Lineage: Eukaryota; Viridiplantae; Streptophyta; Magnoliopsida; Lamiales; Phrymaceae
Source: RefSeq, a predicted model, not a curated record